This 272-nucleotide ribosomal RNA is filed under the name uncultured bacterium. Its description in RNAcentral is "partial 16S ribosomal RNA". It matches the Rfam family "Bacterial small subunit ribosomal RNA", at positions 333 to 619 of the family's 1533-position model. The record is from RNAcentral.
UUCACCCUACGGGGCGCAGCAGUGGGGAAUAUUGGGCAAUGGGCGCAAGCCUGACCCAGCAACGCCGCGUGAAGGAAGAAGGCUUUCGGGUUGUAAACUUCUUUUCUGAGGGACGAAGAAAGUGACGGUACCUCAGGAAUAAGCCACGGCUAACUACGUGCCAGCAGCCGCGGUAAUACGUAGGUGGCAAGCGUUAUCCGGAUUUAUUGGGUUUAAAGGGUGCGUAGGCGGGACGGUAAGUCAGCGGUAAAAAUGCGGAGCUCAACUCCGUC